GACGGGGGCCCGCACAAGCGGUGGAGCAUGUGGUUUAAUUCGAUGCAACGCGAAGAACCUUACCUGGUCUUGACAUCCACGGAAGUUUUCAGAGAUGAGAAUGUGCCUUCGGGAACCGUGAGACAGGUGCUGCAUGGCUGUCGUCAGCUCGUGUUGUGAAAUGUUGGGUUAAGUCCCGCAACGAGCGCAACCCUUAUCCUUUGUUGCCAGCGGUCCGGCCGGGAACUCAAAGGAGACUGCCAGUGAUAAACUGGAGGAAGGUGGGGAUGACGUCAAGUCAUCAUGGCCCUUACGACCAGGGCUACACACGUGCUACAAUGGCGCAUACAAAGAGAAGCGACCUCGCGAGAGCAAGCGGACCUCAUAAAGUGCGUCGUAGUCCGGAUUGGAGUCUGCAACUCGACUCCAUGAAGUCGGAAUCGCUAGUAAUCGUGGAUCAGAAUGCCACGGUGAAUACGUUCCCGGGCCUUGUACACACCGCCCGUCACACCAUGGGAGUGGGUUGCAAAAGAAGUAGGUAGCUUAACCUUCGGGAGGGCGCUUACCACUUUGUGAUUCAU
This 560-nucleotide ribosomal RNA is filed under the name Shigella sp. RNAcentral describes it as "bacterial SSU rRNA". It matches the Rfam family "Bacterial small subunit ribosomal RNA", at positions 912 to 1472 of the family's 1533-position model. Lineage: Bacteria; Pseudomonadati; Pseudomonadota; Gammaproteobacteria; Enterobacterales; Enterobacteriaceae. The record is from RNAcentral.